Molecule: ribosomal RNA, 497 nt
Filed under: uncultured bacterium
Lineage: Bacteria
Description: partial 16S ribosomal RNA
Rfam family: Bacterial small subunit ribosomal RNA
Source: RNAcentral
ACUCAAAUGAAUUGACGGGGGCCCGCACAAGCGGUGGAGCAUGUGGUUUAAUUCGACGCAACGCGAAGAACCUUACCCAGGCUUGAACAGCAGAUGACAUCCUACGAAAGUAGGCUUCCGCAAGGACAUCUGUAGAGGUGCUGCAUGGCUGUCGUCAGCUCGUGUCGUGAGAUGUUGGGUUAAGUCCCGCAACGAGCGCAACCCUUGUCUUCUGUUGCCAUCAGGUUAAGCUGGGCACUCUGAAGAGACUGCCGGUGACAAACCGGAGGAAGGUGGGGAUGACGUCAAGUCAGCAUGGCCUUUAUGUCUGGGGCCACACACGUGCUACAAUGGCCGGUACAAACCGUCGCAAACUCGCAAGGGUGAGCUAAUCGGAUAAAGCUGGUCUCAGUUCGGAUUGUCGGCUGCAACUCGCCGGCAUGAAGUUGGAAUCGCUAGUAAUCGCGGAUCAGCACGCCGCGGUGAAUACGUUCCCGGGCCUUGCACACACCGCCCGU